AGCAGCCGCGGUAAUUCCAGCUCCAAUAGCGUAUAUUAAAGUUGUUGCAGUUAAAAAGCUCGUAGUUGAAUUUCGGGAUUGACACAUCGGUCGUGCCUUAAGGGGUAUGAACUGGUGUAGUCAAUUUCUCACCUUCUGGAGAACCGCGAUGCCCUUAAUUGGGUGUCGCGGGGAACCAGGACCUUUACUUUAGAAAAAUUAGAGUGUUUAAAGCAGGCAUUUUGCUUGAAUACAUUAGCAUGGAAUAAUAAAAUAGGACGGCGUGAUUCUAUUUUGUUGGUUUCUAGGAUCACCGUAAUGAUUAAUAGGGAUAGUUGGGGGCAUUAGUAUUCAAUUGUCAGAGGUGAAAUUCUUGGAUUUAUUGAAGACUAACUACUGCGAAAGCAUUUGCCAAGGAUGUUUUCAUUAAUCAAGAACGAAAGUUAGGGGAUCGAAGACGAUCAGAUACCGUCGUAGUCUUAACCAUAAACUAUGCCGACUAGGAAUCAGACGAUGUUAAUUUUUAAUGACUCGUUUGGCA
RNAcentral lists this unclassified non-coding RNA (520 nucleotides) under uncultured Entrophospora. Its description in RNAcentral is "SSU rRNA". It matches the Rfam family "Eukaryotic small subunit ribosomal RNA", at positions 569 to 1085 of the family's 1831-position model. Lineage: Eukaryota; Fungi; Glomeromycota; Glomeromycetes; Entrophosporales; Entrophosporaceae. The record is from RNAcentral.